CUUUUUAGGGCCACACUUGUGGCAUAUGGAGAUUCCCAGGCUAGGGGUCGAAUUGGAGCGGUGGCUUCCAGCUUAUGCCACAGCCACAGCAAAGCCAGAUUAAGCCAUGUCUGGGACCUAUAUCACAGCUCAUGGCAACGUGGGAUCCUUAAUCCACUGAGCAAGGCCAGGGAUCGAACCUGAGUCCUCGUGGAUGCCAGUCAGAGUCUUAAUUUGCUAAGCCUCAACAGGAACACCUAUUUUUUUAAUUUUUUAAGGAAAUUCCAUACUGUUUUCCAGAGUGACUGCACUAAUUUACAUUCCCAACAACAGUGUACAAGUGUUCUGUUUUCUCCACAUCCUCUGUAGCAUUUAUUAUUUGUAGAUUUUUUUGAUAAUAGCCAUUCUGACAUGUGUGAGGUUAUAUUCAUUAUGGUUUUGAUUUGCCUUUCUGUAAUAAUUAGUAAUGUUGAGCAUCUUUGCAUGUAUCUAUUAGACAUCUGUAUGUCUUCUUUGGAAAAAUGUCUAUUUAGGUUUUCUGCACAUUAUUUGAUUGAGUUGUUGGGUUUUUAUAUUCAGUUGUUUGAGCUGUUUGCAUAUUUUGGCUAUUAAUUCUUUAUCAGUCAAUCCUUUGCAAAUAUAUUUUCUCAUUCCAUAUGUUAUCUUUUUGUUUAGGUUAGGACUAUGUGGUUUUGAUGCUAUAUCUACAAAACGUUGAAGCCUCUGUCAUUCUGGUUUUCUGAGUGGCUAGAAAGCAGAAGUUCCUGCUCAUCCAUGUAGGACAUUGGACAUGAGGGAAAACUAAAUCAUUGUUGCUGAGUCACUGAGAUUUUGUGGUUGUCGCUACUGCUAAAAAAAGAAAAAAAAAAAGCUAAAAACUAGGAAUUCCCAUUGUGGCUCAGCUGAAAUGAACAUGGCUAGAAUCCAUAAGGAUGCAGGUUCAAUCCCUGGCCCCACUCAGUGGGUUAAGGAUACAACAUUGCCGUUAGGUAUAGUGUAGAUCACAGAUGCAGCUUGGAUCUGGCAUUUCUAUGGCUGUGGCAUAUGCCAGCAGCUGUAGCUCUGAUUGGACCCCUAGCCUGAGAACUUCCAUAUGCUGCAGGUGUGGCCCUAAAAAGCAAAAUAAAUAAUUUUUAAAAACCUAGCCCAUCCUGACAAAAAUACCACAGAAAUAGAUACAUCCUUUUUUUUCUACAAUGUUAAGAAAAGUUACAAAAGUGAGUUCUUAUUCUUGUAUUAUGCAGCCAUCAUAUAAGAGGGAUAAUUUCUACAAUUAAGAGAAUAUGCCAUCCCCUGUAUAUUCAUUCAACAAGCAGUAACUAUAUACUCUAAGCCAGGGACUCUACAAGUCUCUGAACAGAUUCAUUUGUGAUUAAACAGAUACAGUUAUGUUCCUUGUGGAGCUUAUAAUCUAGUACUUAAUAAUAACUAGUUUUAGUUAUUAUAUGGUAGAUUAUAUUCUUAGUGUUUCAUACUUACUCACUUAUUUCAACCCUGUGAAGUGGAUACUAUUACAAUCCCCAUUUUAACAAUGAGUAAAUCAAGACUUAGAAAGUUUAAGUAACUUGAGAAAGAUCACACAGUUAAUAAGUAACAAGGCAAGCUUUGAAGCCAUAUAGAUACAUUAAUGCCAGAACUCAGGCUCUUAAUUACUAUAUUAUGCUCAAUGCAUGUGAGAAAUCUUCAAACUCUAAAGUACAGAAUAAGUUGUGAAUAUAAAAUAUUCAUUAUAUUUAUAUACUUAAGUACAUGUUGCUUUUAAUACAAUGUGAAAUUAAUAUUUUCACAAAACUCCCUAGGUGAUUUUGGCAUAUUCUACAAGACAAAGCAAAACAAAAAAAACUGAAACAGGUAAUCAGAAUUUAAGAAACAUUACAUUAGAUUAUAUAUGAAAAUUAUUCUACCAGUUCACAUCAAGGAGAACAUAAAAAUAAUUUCUAAAUGCUUGCUAUUAUAGUGAGAAUAAGUUUUUACUGACUCGUGUACAUUUUUUGAUACUCCGCCCCCACUUAGAAUUGAAGAGUGAUAGAGAAAGAGAGUUGGCAAAAUUAGAACUGUAGAUGAUUGAUAAGUGAUAACUGAUCUAACCCUCUAUAGAAAGCUUGAUGUGAUUAUCAAACAUCAAAUAAGGAUAAAAGGGAAGAAAGUCCUAUUAGACAAAUUUUAAUGGGACAUCAAUCAAUUAAACAAUCAAUUACACAAUCAAUACUUCCUGAGACUUGGGCUUUAAGAGUUAUUAUCAAGAUAUUCUAUAUGUUAACAAUUUAACUUCACUGGUAAACAAUGUGUCAUUUCAAAUUAAAUAAUCAAAAAUUGAAAUGAAUUAAAUAUAUGCCUGUAUGUUGAGUAAAGUACUGUUUUCAGGUGGAUUUAGUUUCUUCAUUAAAAUGAGAGAGCCUAAGUGGUUAGAGAUAUUACUGAAUUAAUAAAUGAUGAAUAAAUGUAAAAAUAAAUGAUAAGGGUCAAUUUCUAUUAUUUUGAAUUAAUCUCUCAUAAAUUUUAUGGGAAAGAUAAAUGAUUCACCUAGAUAGAUUUUAAAAUGGUUAUGACAAUAAUGAAUUACUUAGAUUAAAACAUUCAUUAUACAUAAGCACAUGUUGCUUUUAAUACAAGUACGUGAACUUGAAUAUCUAAAGCUUAAACAAAUUUGAAUGUGCAAGCACAAGAUUAAAUGUGGCACAUAAUGAGUUUAAACAGCUAACUAGGUUUUCUUGGUCCAUUUUACAUCUAACAAUUAUGGAAUAGCAGUAAUGCCAAUUAGAUAAACCACAUUACUUAAUAAGAAAACUAUUGUUCUUCAGAAAAGAAAUGCAUGGACUUGGAGAACAGAUUGUGGUUGCCAAUGGGGAGAGGGAGGGAGUGGGAUGAACCGGGAGUUCGGGGUUAAUAGAUGAAAACUAUUGCAUUUGGAGUGGAUAAGCAAUGAGAUCCUGCUGUAUAGCACAGGGAACUAUAUCUAGUCACUUGUGAUGGAACAUGGUGGAGGAUAACAUGAGAAAAAGAAUGUGUAUAAAUGUGUGACUGGGUCACUUUUCUAUACAGUAGAAAAUUGACAGAACACACAAUUGAGGCCAAGUUUCAUGUUUUCACAGCAAUUAGCUUUGCAAAGCAAAUCUUUGCCUAAAAGUCAUAGGAUAUAUUCCAGACCCUGGUAUAGCUGUUUUGAAAAUGUGAAUUUGGGGUCAUAAAUAGAACUAGUUCAGCACUUCAGAAAAACUACAAAAUGGAAUGACCCAACAUAAUAGCAUUAUUAUACCUACUUUCACAGAGGGGAAUAUUUUAUCCUUUUAAAGUAGCAAAAUGCCCACCAUUACCUGAUUGUAUUACAUCAAAAAAUGAGUUUUGAUUAGAAGCAUCACAACAGAGUAUUCUCACUAAAAUAAUGCCUCAUCCCCCGAAAACAUGAUGACAUCCCUGAAAUCACAAUGAAGGGUCAAGGGGGUGACUUCCAAUUUAAGAGGGCCUUGCAGUGAGAAAAGAGCACAAAGCAAGAGCUCUAAUAGGACUAUACUGGACAUUCAGUUUCACUAAGCAAAGUCAGCAGGAGCUUUUUCUUGGGUUUAGCAAUGAGUGCAAGGUUUGAGAAUACACUAGCUAGCUGAAUUUCACUCAUCUAAAAAGAAAAUUGAAACAAACUCUUUGUUAAUAAAAGUUAAAAUCUCAUUCAGCUUAAGUCUACCCUUCCCAAGUAUUACUUUAAUCUUUCCUUAAAAUUUCCUAUAAUUGAUUAGUUCCUAUGAAGAAAAGAUUUAUUUAUUCCCAUUAUCUAAAUUAUGAAAGUAAAUGAACAUUUCUUUCCAUAUUUUCUGUAGCCACACAGACUACUGUUACCAUAUCCUAGGACACCACAGCCUGAGAUGCUAAGAAGGUUACUGGGUGCUGAAACUCAGGAUUCAGAAGUCAGUUCCAAGGAGGUGACUAGGGCUGACUGUGUGGAGACAGCAUGGGGGCUAGGGAGCAGUGCAACCUCAUGGUUCCUGGUCGGAUUCACUAACCACUGCGCCACAACGGGAACUCCUGCAAUACCUUUUAAAAUCAUAACCCAGAAACUUACAUACCUAGAAAUAAAUCUGACAAAGGAGGAUAAAGGAUAUGCAGAGUUCUCAUCGUGGUUCAGUGGUUAACAAAUCUGACUAGGUUGCAGCUUCAAUCCCUGGCCUCGCUCAGUGGGUUAAGGAUCUGGCAUUGCCAUGAGCUGUGGUGUAGGUCACAGACAUGGCUCAGAUCCAGUGUAGCUGUUGCUGGGGUGUAGGCCAGCAGCUACAGCUCCAAUUUGACCCCUAGCCUGGGAACCUCCAUAUGCCAUGGGUGCAGCCCUAGAAAAGACAAAAAAAAAACAGGACUUAUAUGCUAAAAACUGUAAAACAUUGAAACAUUGUCAAGGAAAUUAAAGAGGAUUCAAAGAACUUCCAUGCUCCUGGAUUGGAAGAAUUAAUAUUGUUACAAUGGCCAUACUACCCAAAGCAAUCUACAGAUUCAAUGCAAUCCCUAUCAAAUAACCCAUGACAUUUUUCACAGAACUAGAACAAACAACCCAAAAAUUUAUAUGGAAC
This 4532-nucleotide long non-coding RNA is filed under the name Sus scrofa (pig). Its description in RNAcentral is "lncRNA (ENSSSCG00000060322.1)". Lineage: Eukaryota; Metazoa; Chordata; Mammalia; Artiodactyla; Suidae. The record is from RNAcentral.